This 372-nucleotide long non-coding RNA is filed under the name Physcomitrium patens. Its description in RNAcentral is "long non-coding RNA (PPAT_LNC014847)". The record is from RNAcentral. Lineage: Eukaryota; Viridiplantae; Streptophyta; Bryopsida; Funariales; Funariaceae.
AGUAUUGGUUUUUUGAGGGAUUUUCAAAGCGAGUGAUGUUCUGUGUGAAUUCAGAUCUUUGAGAAAUAAAACCAGUUUAUAAAUUUUUACAUUUCGUGUCUUUUGUAGUAUUUUUAUAAGUGAAAAAUAGAGACUUAUUGGUAUGCUUGUUAUAAAUGUAUGUAAGAGAUUUGAAAUCAAUCGAAUGGCUAGAUCGAUACAAAUAAAGGUUUUUGUGGGCUAAGGUCUCGAGAUUUAGGGUUUUGAAGACUAGUAAGGUUUUCUUAGAUAUCUAGUAAUUUGCCAAUUGGAUUGGAGAGAUUUUUGAUUUUAUCAGUAGAAGACUUGAUUUCCUACAUGCAAAUAAAAUUUGGAAGCAAUCAAACGAUGGAA